AAUCAACGCUGGCGGCGUGCCUAACACAUGCAAGUCGAACGCGAAAGCCCCUUCGGGGGUAAGUAGAGUGGCGUCCGGGUGAGUAACACGUAGGUAAUCUACCUUCGGGUGGGGAAUAACUCGCCGAAAGGCGAGCUAAUACCGCAUAAUGCAGCGGCACCUAAUGGUGAUUAGUUGUUAAAGCGGGGGAUCGUAAGACCUCGCGCCUGAAGAGGAGCCUGCGGCAGAUUAGCUAGUUGGGAGGUAAUGGCUCACCAAGGCUUCGAUCUGUAGCUGGUCUGAGAGGACGGCCAGCCACACUGGCACUGACACACGGGCCAGACUCCUACGGGAGGCAGCAGUGGGGAAGUUUUGGGCAAUGGGCGCAAGCCUGACCCAGCAACGCCGUGUGA
This 392-nucleotide ribosomal RNA is filed under the name uncultured bacterium. RNAcentral describes it as "bacterial SSU rRNA". It matches the Rfam family "Bacterial small subunit ribosomal RNA", at positions 32 to 404 of the family's 1533-position model. The record is from RNAcentral.